This 683-nucleotide long non-coding RNA is filed under the name Pongo abelii (Sumatran orangutan). RNAcentral describes it as "lincRNA". Lineage: Eukaryota; Metazoa; Chordata; Mammalia; Primates; Hominidae. The record is from RNAcentral.
AGAGUCAUUGUGGGGGAGGGGGUGGGCCAGCCAGGGCAGGCAGGGACAGUCCUUCUGAUGAGGAGGCCACUGGGCUGAGACCAAUGAAUGAGACGGAGCCAGCCACGUGGGCUUGAGUCUGGGGGAGCCUGGCUGCCCAGAGGUGGCAGAUGACAUGAAGAAAUAACCAUGUAAGGGCUGGCUGUGUAUGAGAGCAAGCAUUGGGAAGGAUGAAUGCCAACUAUGUUCCAGGAACUUCUACUGUUCUCACACACCCAGAUGAGUGGUGUUCAGGUGGGUGGCACCCAGGUGAGUGGCACCCAGGUGGAUAGCAUCCAGGUGAGUGACACCUAGGUGAGUGACAUUCAGGUGAGUGGCAUCUGUGUGAGUGGCAUCAUCCAGGUGAGUAGCUUCCAGGUGAGUGGCACCCAGGUGAGUGGCAUUCAGGUGAGUGGCAUUAUCCAGGUGACACCUGGGUGAGUGGCAUCCAGGCGAGUGAUAUCAUCCAGGUAAGUGGCACCUGGGUGAGUGACAUCCAGGUGAGUGAUAUCAUCCAGGUAAAUGGCACCCAGGUGAGUAGCAUUCAGGUGAGUGACACCCAGGCGAGUGGCAUCCACGUGACUAGCAUUGUCCAGGUGCAUAACACCCAUGAGUGGCACCCAGUUGAGUGGCACCCAAGUGAGUCACAUCCGGGUAAGUGGGGU